This is a non-coding RNA of Lyophyllum atratum, 97 nucleotides long. NCBI's taxonomy places the organism in Eukaryota, Fungi, Basidiomycota, Agaricomycetes, Agaricales, Lyophyllaceae. The record is from the annotation of a GenBank genome assembly.
UCGGGUAUGGUGUAACGGCUAACAUUGCCGCCUCUCAUAUGGCAACGAUAGCUAGAAUUGUGCGCGGCAGCUCGGGGUUCGAUUCCCCGUACCCGAA